This is a non-coding RNA of Lacerta agilis (Sand lizard), 483 nucleotides long. Lineage: Eukaryota; Metazoa; Chordata; Lepidosauria; Squamata; Lacertidae. The record is from the annotation of a RefSeq genome assembly.
AUGGGGAAGAGGCUGGUCAGAGAUCCCAUUGCUUUCUGUUCCUCCACGAUGGCCUGGGUCUUCCUGCUCAUCGCAACCCUGGCUUCCAUCGGUCCCAGUGCCCAGCAGCUCCACCCCCUGAAGCCCUCAGAGGUUGUGUCUGCAGGAGAUACGGUCACCUUUUCCUGUAGAUUCAGUGGUGGAACCAUCACUGAUGGCAACUACCCUCUCUGGGUCCAGCAGAAACUAGGGAAUUCUCCACGGCUGUUGAUUGACCAGACCAGCAGAAGAGCACCAGGCACCACAGCCCGUUUCUCUGGGUCUAAAUCAGGGAACACCAUGUCCCUGACCAUCACAGGAGCCAUGGCAGAAGAUGAGGCUGAUUAUUACUGCACCAUUAAUAUCCCUGGCCAGUAUGUCACAGUGGUUCAUGCACAUGGGGAAGCAAGACAAAAACUCUCCUACACUGCCUUCAUUAGCCUAAGUUUCUCUUGCAGUGAAUGA